CCNNUUGAUCCUGCCGGACCUGACUGCUAUCGGAUUGGUACUAANCCAUGCGAGUCAUUGUAGCAAUACAAGGCGGACGGCUCAGUAACACGUAGUCAACCUAACUCGUGGACGUGGAUAACCUCGGGAAACUGAGAAUAAACCGCGAUAGACCAUAGUGCCUGGAAUGGCCUAUGAUCAAAAUAGUUUACUGCCAUGGGAUGGGACUGCGGCCUAUCAGCUUGUUGGUGAGGUAAUGGCCCACCAAGGCGAUUACAGGUACGGGCUCUGAGAGGAGAAGCCCGGAGAUGGGUACUGGGACACGGACCCAGGCCCUAUGGGGCGCAGCAGGCGAGAAACCUUAGCAAUGUGCGAAAGCACGACUGGGUCAGUCCGAGUGAUUCCUGAUGAAGGAGUCUUUUGCUUGUCCUAAAAGCACAGGUGAAUAAGGGGUGGGCAAGUCUGGUGUCAGCCGCCGCGGUAAUACCAGCACCUCGAGUGGUCAGGACGUUUAUUGGGCCUAAAGCAUCCGUAGCCGGCGCUGCAAGUCUUCGGUUAAAUCCAUCUGCUUAACAGAUGGGCCGCUGGAGAUACUACAGCGCUAGGGAGUG
This 590-nucleotide ribosomal RNA is filed under the name uncultured archaeon. Its description in RNAcentral is "bacterial SSU rRNA". It matches the Rfam family "Archaeal small subunit ribosomal RNA", at positions 4 to 601 of the family's 1478-position model. The record is from RNAcentral.